RNAcentral lists this ribosomal RNA (440 nucleotides) under uncultured bacterium. Its description in RNAcentral is "partial 16S ribosomal RNA". It matches the Rfam family "Bacterial small subunit ribosomal RNA", at positions 338 to 795 of the family's 1533-position model. The record is from RNAcentral.
CCUACGGGUGGCUGCAGUGGGGAAUAUUGCUCAAUGGGGGAAAGCCUGAAGCAGCAACGCCGCGUGGAGGAUGAAGGUUUUCGGGUUGUAAACUCCUUUUGUGCGGGAAGAUAAUGACGGUAUCUAACGAAUAAGCACCUGCUAACUCCGUGCCAGCAGCCGCGGUAAUACGGAGGGUGCAAGCGUUACUCGGAAUCACUGGGCGUAAAGAGCGCGUAGGCGGGAUAGCAAGUCAGAUGUGAAAUCCUAUGGCUUAACCAGAGAACUGCAUUUGAAACUGUUAUUCUAGAGUAUGGGAGAGGUAGGUGGAAUUCUUGGUGUAGCGGUGAAAUCCGUAGAGAUCAAGAGGAAUACUCAUUGCGAAGGCGACCUGCUAGAACAUAACUGACGCUGAUGCGCGAAAGCGUGGGGAGCAAACAGGAUUAGAUACCCGUGUAGUC